This 595-nucleotide long non-coding RNA is filed under the name Heterocephalus glaber (naked mole-rat). RNAcentral's name for it is "lncRNA (ENSHGLG00100028208.2)". Lineage: Eukaryota; Metazoa; Chordata; Mammalia; Rodentia; Bathyergidae. The record is from RNAcentral.
AAAGCGGUGGCGGUGGCGGCACGAACUUUUCCGGCUCUGCCCCGCGCCCCCUGAGAGGCCAGAAGUGACAACUUGAACGCGGGACUUUGAGGGGUCCGGAGCGGAGAGCAGUGUGCACCCUGAGACACGGUCUCUGCCCCCCCCCCCCCGCCCUCCGGGUGGCCGCUUGGCACCGCGCCCGGGCGUUCCGCACCAGAACCGACACAGCCCGAACCCUUCACCGAGGGCACCGUGAACUGCAGUGGCUACUUUCACUGUUGUGCUUCCUCCAGGUCCAUGAAGCCCUCGAGUGUGACCCCUAACCCCAGAGCGAAGUGUAGUGGGGAGGUGGUCUCCGAACCCAAGCUUCCACGUGCCCGAAACGAGGGUGGUAGUGUCAGGAAUUGAAAGCUGCUGACAUCCUGUAAGAAAGAAAAGUUGUUAAGCUUGAUUCUGUGGAAGGAAAUUUAAAAUAACAAAAAGAUGAAAAGAAACAGGAAUCUGAAGGACCAUAGAAUAAAUUCCUUUCUAUAUCAUCAAGGAAGAUCCUACUGCCAUUCUCAAGUGACCAGUACCAGUUUACAGUGUUCUACUGUAGCAUAAAAUCAUUAAAGAG